RNAcentral lists this ribosomal RNA (292 nucleotides) under uncultured bacterium. RNAcentral describes it as "partial 16S ribosomal RNA". It matches the Rfam family "Bacterial small subunit ribosomal RNA", at positions 505 to 796 of the family's 1533-position model. The record is from RNAcentral.
GUGCCAGCAGCCGCGGUAAGACAGAGGUGCCAAGCGUUAGGCGGAAUCACUGGGCUUAAAGCGUGUGUAGGCGGAUUUCUAAGUAUCUUGUGAAAUCCCAUGGCUCAACCAUGGAACUGCUUGAUAUACUGGAUGUCUUGAGCCACUUAGGGGUUACCGGAACAAAUGGUGGAGCGGUGAAACGCGUAGAUAUCAUUUGGAACGCCAAUGGUGAAAACAGGUAACUGGGAGUGUGCUGACGCUGAGACACGAAAGCUAGGGGAGCAAACGGGAUUAGAUACCCCCGUAGUCC